CCCAGGGAAAGGCGUGGGGUCAGAGGAUUUGGCUCUGUCACACCAUUCACUGCCUGCCCUUCUUCCCAGCGCUUCCAAGAUCUGGUUGUAUUAAACACGAGAAUGAAGAGAGGAAAACACCUUCGCCCACGGUGUGCUCUGGGGACAUCUCCAGGUGUGGGUGGUGGCGUCAGCCACAGGACAGAUGGAGUUUCACUCUUGUCACCCGGGCUGGAAUGCAAUGGCACAAUCUUGGCUCACUGCAACCUCUGCCUCCCAGGUUCAAGCAAUUCUCCUGCCUCAGCCUCCCAAGUAGCUGGGACUACAGGCACCCGUCACCACGCCCGGCUAAUUUUUGUAUUUUUAGUAGAGCCUAUUGUCCAGGCUGGCCUCAAACUCCUGACCUCAGGUGAUCUGCCCGCCUCAGCCUCCCAAAGUGCUGGGAUUACAGAGAUGAGCGACUGCACCCUGCCAGCUUUUGACUUUUUUCAAAAAAAUUAUUCUUUGAUCACCUUAUGAUGUGCCAGGGAGAAGGAGGGGUGCUUCUGGCCUCGCUUGUGCCACCCUUACCCAAAAUCCAGGCACAUGUGCUGUCGAGGCUCCACGCAAGACCCCAGGAACUCCUGGGUCUUUGCUACCGCCAGAGGGUUGCACCUGCUUCUCAGACAGAAGACCCCCGUCUCAUGGUUUCUCUUUCUCAGGCCUCCAAACCCCUGGUUAUUUCAUCUUUGAAAUGAGUGUUUCAUAUGCAAUUAACCUAUGUUGAAACUUUACCAACUCUAAAGUGAAAUUAUACUUCCUUCCUACAUCUAACUCUACCUAACCAUAGAGUUCCCCUCCCGAGUAUUUCUGAAAGUUUCCCAGGGACAGCUUUGCACAGCUCCAGAAAGUAUCUCUCACUCUCACUCUACCCUUUUCUUCUUGCUGCCAUGAUUCUGCCUCUGUAGCUUAUGGGACUGGCGACUUAGUGACUCUGCCAGGCCUUGGGAAGGAGACAUUGCCCUCCCCAACCCCCCACAGCUCAUCUGACCACAGGUUCCACUGAGUUGGGGCAUAAAGAAAGCAGCCUUAGAAAUUUCCAUCUGCCUCCAGAGGAGAAGUGUCUUGUACCCAAAGGCCUCCAUUUGGCAGGGGCCACUUUAGCUCCCACCAACAGCAAUAUACAGGCCCCCUUUCUCCACAGAGAGAGGAAGAAAUCCCUCCCUUUCCAGCCCACAACACUCUUCCUUGCCUGCCUUGGGAUGACAGACCAUGAGGACACCCCUUUCUGUUAGGGGCAAUCUCCCUCCUCCCUCCACACCUGAAGGUGUGGUCUGACCCUUUCCCCUCUGAGAAAAUAAACCACCAUCUUAGUGUCCAG
RNAcentral lists this long non-coding RNA (1339 nucleotides) under Homo sapiens (human). Its description in RNAcentral is "HSALNT0302831". Lineage: Eukaryota; Metazoa; Chordata; Mammalia; Primates; Hominidae. The record is from RNAcentral.